UUUGGCAUUCGGUAUUCCAUCGUUUUUUUAUUAUUAGCACUAAAAAAAAAAUAUUGGCAUAUAUGCAUAAAAAUCCCAAACAUUUGAAUAGUCGCUCCCAUGAAUAUGAAUAUUUUAAUCAUCCACCUAACUCUUGCUUAUCCAAUCUUACCAUUACAAGAUACAAUAACAAUAUUUUAGAAAAAGUCGAUGCGGGUUCGUGUCUCAUUCUGACAAUGUUCUAGCUGCCCUCGCUCCGAUUUGGCUUGAAUGAAACAAAGGCCUGAUCGUUGACGGGGCUGGGAGUCCAAUCGUUUGUAGCAGGGUUGCUUCUGCAACCUGACACCAGAGAGCCAGUACCAUGGACUGUUGGCAAUUCAAUGUUGUACCCAUUUGUAUUUUCUUCACCCACGACCCUUAUGAAUCCACUCCCCGUCAUAUGAUGCUGCUUGUCAAUUGAAUCUAACUCCUUAUAAUAGUGGGUCUCCACAAACUCAUCUUGCUCCACAACGGCCCCCUCUCCAGAAAAAAUGACAGAGGAUUGAGAUUGGAGAGAUCGAAGCCUGUCAAGCUCAGGAAUACUGAUUUGGUCUGCGUCAGAGGGAGCUGAUUUUGGAGUUGUUGUGUCCGAUUCACUUCUGUUUGGUUUAGCAGGUCGUUUGGGGGCAAUAGAAUCGAAUUGAGCUCUGAUUUGGUUGGCUAUUUGGAGCUGUCGAUUUGCAUCCAAAACCUCGUCGCUCCGGCUUGGCUUAGUCACGGUCAACUGCCCCACCAUGUUGGCUCUUGCCUGUAAAGUUUCUAUCUUGGUGAUCUCCACUACGUCUUCCCCUCACUGCGAUGGGAUGCCAAGAAUUGUUGCCAUCCGUCUUAUAUAGUGGACUGGUUUGGAAAACCAGGGGCCAUGUCAAAAACCGCUUGCCGAGUAUUUUUCUUGGGUAGGUUUCAAGGCUGAAGGUGGGCUUGAACUAGUAAAUAUUGGGGUUGGAGUUAUUAGCUUCUGAGGCCGAUGACGUCUUUGGAAAAAAC
RNAcentral lists this unclassified non-coding RNA (1005 nucleotides) under Hevea brasiliensis (rubber tree). Lineage: Eukaryota; Viridiplantae; Streptophyta; Magnoliopsida; Malpighiales; Euphorbiaceae. The record is from RNAcentral.